This 253-nucleotide ribosomal RNA is filed under the name uncultured bacterium. RNAcentral describes it as "partial 16S ribosomal RNA". It matches the Rfam family "Bacterial small subunit ribosomal RNA", at positions 524 to 776 of the family's 1533-position model. The record is from RNAcentral.
CACGUAGGGCGCAAGCGUUGUCCGGAAUUAUUGGGCGUAAAGAGCUCGUAGGUGGUUUGUUACGUCUGCUGUGAAAACCUAGGGCUUAACCCUGGGCUUGCAGUGGAUACGGGCAGACUAGAGGUAGGUAGGGGAGAAUGGAAUUCCUGGUGUAGCGGUGAAAUGCGCAGAUAUCAGGAGGAACACCGGUGGCGAAGGCGGUUCUCUGGGCCUUGCCUGACACUGAGGAGCGAAAGCGUGGGGAGCGAACAGG